GACAGAGGGUGCAAACGUUGUUCGGAAUUACUGGGCGUAAAGGGCUCGUAGGCGGCCAACUAAGUCGGAUGUGAAAUCCCCAGGCUUAACCUGGGAACUGCAUCCGAUACUGGAUGGCUUGAAUCCGGGAGAGGGAUGCAGAAUUCCAGGUGUAGCGGUGAAAUGCGUAGAUAUCUGGAGGAAUACCGGUGGCGAAGGCGGCAUCCUGGACCGGCAUUGACGCUGAGGAGCGAAAGCUAGGGGAGCAAACGGG
Molecule: ribosomal RNA, 253 nt
Filed under: uncultured bacterium
Lineage: Bacteria
Description: partial 16S ribosomal RNA
Rfam family: Bacterial small subunit ribosomal RNA
Source: RNAcentral